UAUUCAUGAUGCCUCUAACUUGUUGCUUAGG
Molecule: non-coding RNA, 31 nt
Filed under: Homo sapiens (human)
Lineage: Eukaryota; Metazoa; Chordata; Mammalia; Primates; Hominidae
Source: RNAcentral